RNAcentral lists this ribosomal RNA (433 nucleotides) under uncultured bacterium. RNAcentral's name for it is "partial 16S ribosomal RNA". It matches the Rfam family "Bacterial small subunit ribosomal RNA", at positions 29 to 507 of the family's 1533-position model. The record is from RNAcentral.
AACGAACGCUGGCGGCAUGCCUAACACAUGCAAGUCGAACGAUGCCUUCGGGCAUAGUGGCGCACGGGUGCGUAACGCGUGGGAAUCUGCCUUUCGGUUCGGAAUAACUCAGGGAAACUUGAGCUAAUACCGGAUAACGUCGCAAGACCAAAGAUUUAUCACCGAAAGAUGAGCCCGCGUAGGAUUAGCUAGUUGGUGAGGUAAAGGCUCACCAAGGCGACGAUCCUUAGCUGGUCUGAGAGGAUGAUCAGCCACACUGGGACUGAGACACGGCCCAGACUCCUACGGGAGGCAGCAGUGGGGAAUAUUGGACAAUGGGCGAGAGCCUGAUCCAGCAAUGCCGCGUGAGUGAUGAAGGCCUUAGGGUUGUAAAGCUCUUUUACCCGGGAAGAUAAUGACGGUACCGGGAGAAUAAGCCCCGGCUAACUCCGUG